This 429-nucleotide ribosomal RNA is filed under the name Triticum aestivum (bread wheat). Its description in RNAcentral is "partial small subunit ribosomal RNA". Lineage: Eukaryota; Viridiplantae; Streptophyta; Magnoliopsida; Poales; Poaceae. The record is from RNAcentral.
AUGUGGCUAGUGGUGCAGAGAAGAUGCCUCACGGCGGAUAAUCUGGAGCGGAGGAACUGGCCCUCCAAUGGUUGCUGCCCAUUAUGUACAUCUCACCACGAGGAUUGCACGCAUCUAUUCGUGCAUUGCCGUUUCACGCAGCAGCUAUGGCUAUGUUUCAAAUCAUGGACAGGAGCAGACUUUCAAGAGCCGGCAAAUAGAUUCCACACAACGGAAGAUUGGUGGCUGCAGGCCAGGGCAGCUAUCCCCAAGCACGUAAGGAGGAAUUUCGACACGGUGGUCAUCCUGUUACACUGGAGGAUAUGGAAGGAGAGAAACUCAAGGAUUUUUGAUCAACGAGCCAGUUCCCGUCAGAGGGCUUUGGACCUGUGCAAAGAUGACAUCACAAUGUGGCGGGCGGCCGGCUGCAUCGUCGACCUACCAGACUAG